GAAAUAUGAGACCCAAGAUAAAGCUUCUAACUUUUAACUUUAGCGGUGAAACUCCGUUAAUAUUUCU
RNAcentral lists this transfer RNA (67 nucleotides) under Cryptalaus yamato. RNAcentral describes it as "tRNA-Ser". Lineage: Eukaryota; Metazoa; Arthropoda; Insecta; Coleoptera; Elateridae. The record is from RNAcentral.